RNAcentral lists this transfer RNA (74 nucleotides) under Paenibacillus pabuli. RNAcentral describes it as "tRNA-Ala". Lineage: Bacteria; Bacillati; Bacillota; Bacilli; Caryophanales; Paenibacillaceae. The record is from RNAcentral.
GGGGCCGAAUGACUAAGGAAAGAAUCCCUUCGCUGGCAGCGAUGAGGUCAGGGGUUCGAUCCCCCUAGGCUCCA